RNAcentral lists this ribosomal RNA (441 nucleotides) under uncultured bacterium. RNAcentral's name for it is "partial 16S ribosomal RNA". It matches the Rfam family "Bacterial small subunit ribosomal RNA", at positions 338 to 795 of the family's 1533-position model. The record is from RNAcentral.
CCUACGGGAGGCAGCAGUGGGGGAUAUUGCACAAUGGGGGGAACCCUGAUGCAGCGACGCCGCGUGGGUGAAGGAGUGCUUCGGCAUGUAAAGCCCUAUCGGCAGGGAAGAAGCAAGACGGUACCUGACUAAGAAGCCCCGGCUAACUAAGUGCCAGCAGCCGCGGUAAUACGUAGGGGGCGAGCGUUAUCCGGAUUCACUGGGUGUAAAGGGAGCGUAGACGGCCAUGCAAGCCAGGGGUGGAAGCCCGGGGCCCAACGCCGGGACUGCCCUUGGAACUGUGCGGCUAGAGUGCGGGAGGGGCAGGCGGAAUGCCUGGUGUAGCGGUGAAAUGCGUAGAUAUCAGGAGGAACACCGGCGGCGAAGGCGGCCUGCUGGACCGCGACUGACGUUGAGGCUCGAAAGCGUGGGGAGCGAACAGGAUUAGAUACCCCUGUAGUC